AAUGCCGGAUGCUCCAGUUGAUCGCAUGGUCUUCUGGGAAAGCUUUCGCGGUAUGGGAUGGGGUCGCGUCCUAUCAGCUUGACGGCGGGGUAACGGCCCACCGUGGCUUCGACGGGUAGCCGGCCUGAGAGGGCGACCGGCCACAUUGGGACUGAGAUACGGCCCAGACUCCUACGGGAGGCAGCAGUGGGGAAUAUUGCACAAUGGGCGCAAGCCUGAUGCAGCGACGCCGCGUGAGGGAUGGAGGCCUUCGGGUUGUAAACCUCUUUUAUCGGGGAGCAAGCGAGAGUGAGUUUACCCGUUGAAUAAGCACCGGCUAACUACGUGCCAGCAGCCGCGGUAAUACGUAGGGUGCAAGCGUUAUCCGGAAUUAUUGGGCGUAAAGGGCUCGUAGGCGGUUCGUCGCGUCCGGUGUGAAAGUCCAUCGCUUAACGGUGGAUCCGCGCCGGGUACGGGCGGGCUUGAGUGCGGUAGGGGAGACUGGAAUUCCCGGUGUAACGGUGGAAUGUGUAGAUAUCGGA
Molecule: ribosomal RNA, 521 nt
Filed under: Bifidobacterium longum subsp. suillum
Lineage: Bacteria; Bacillati; Actinomycetota; Actinomycetes; Bifidobacteriales; Bifidobacteriaceae
Description: bacterial SSU rRNA
Rfam family: Bacterial small subunit ribosomal RNA
Source: RNAcentral